AGCAGGCCUGUCACCUGACACUUCAUUGUCACAUGACAUCAUGCACCUGCCAUGUUUGGAAUGAAGGUACAUGGGCAUUCAUUUCCAGCACAUUCAAUUCGGACUGCCAGCAUACAACUCAGCUGACUGUGAUUGCCUCUGAAGAAGUUCCCUGCCAGCACAUCAGCCGGGCUCUCUGAGCAAGUCCUCUUCACCGUCAUUCUGUCCAGAACUCACUGCAGUCUCCCGUGAAGAAAUCCAGAUCCUGCUGGUCGUUCUCUAUGGCUCUCCAGGUGAAAGGAAUCAAACAGAUGGAAGUGGAAGCAGUAUUGUAUGACAGCUGUGCUGUGGCUGUCUGGCACGACCGGUGGGCAGAGGGCUCCAUAUUUAGGAGCGAAAGGGUAGGAGGCUGAGAUGGGCAUCUUUUGCAUCACAUCCUGCAUGUGGUUCUGUUUGCAUGCAGCUCACAGACAGGGAUGGGAAGUUGUAGGCGAGAUUAUGAAAAUGGGCUCUUGGUGUAAAAUUCUGGUGUGAAAUCCAGUGCUU
This is a long non-coding RNA of Carassius gibelio (silver crucian carp), 525 nucleotides long. RefSeq lists it as uncharacterized. The record is from RefSeq and is a predicted model, not a curated record. Lineage: Eukaryota; Metazoa; Chordata; Actinopteri; Cypriniformes; Cyprinidae. The transcript is spliced from 5 exons.